CAGUCACUGGAUUCAUGGUUUACAAAAAGAAGAAAGCCAAACACCCUCCACCUCCUCCUGACAGCGACUCUGAGCUCUCUGAGAACCUGAAUCCAGAAACCUGACAAACACUCAGGCAGUGAGCUCACAUGGGAGGGAAAA
Molecule: long non-coding RNA, 141 nt
Organism: Seriola dumerili (greater amberjack)
Lineage: Eukaryota; Metazoa; Chordata; Actinopteri; Carangiformes; Carangidae
Exons: 3
Source: RefSeq, a predicted model, not a curated record